ACCUGUUAAAUUGGAGGACAACAAAAACCUAAAUAACUAAAAAAAAAAACCCUCCAACUAAAUAAGAGCUUCUCACUGGCACUGAAAUUGGUUAUCAGUAGGGAGUAUAGUAUCUGCUAUUUCAGGCUGUUCUAAACUGAAAUGUUAUAUGAGCCAGAAUCAAUGGCAUAGGCGGGUUGCAUGACUUUUUCAGUCUUGUUUAAGGCUUUCCUCAUCAAAACCAUCAUGCCACUUGGUAAGAAGGUUUGGUAUAGAUUGUAUUGUAUGUAACAUCCCCAUCACUCACGCUUCACUGUGGGAAACGAGACAGAGGAAUCCACUAAGGACUGCAGGAGGUACUUUUUCAUGUUUUAGAUUGACUGCAAACAAAGUGCAAUUUUGGAUGUUUGGGAGCAGUAAGCUCUGAAGCCUUGUUUCUAAGCAUUUGAGACAUUCUCUGAUGGUGUUCUGAAGUAAAAGAAGAAAAAGGGAAAAGGUUGAUCCUGCCUCUUUGGUUCCAUCAUUCUGUCCUUAGCAGGAUGUAAGGACAGGGCUUAGGGCUUUCCGGCACACACUCUGUUACAGGUAAUAGAGUCAGGAGAAUCUAUUCAGAGGAUGUAAGAGUCUAGUUGCAAUAACACAAAGUUUACAGCUGCAAAACUUCAGUAAAGAGCAGACUGAACUGGGUUGCAGAGCUCCAUACCUCUCCAGCUAGGCUGUUAAUACACAAGCUAGCUAAAUGGCUUUAGGACAGACAGUGUAAUAAAAAAUAGAUGUUCUUUAUCCUCCUCAGUUUGAGAUGAAGAAGCAAAGUAACUGCUCUCCUCAAACAAUAGAUGUUUCUAAAACACAGUUCUAGAAGAUUUGUAGCAGAACUGUUUGUCAGCUGUAGGUUUCAGUGCACAACUAGUCACAGGCCUUAAAACUUUAUAUUUAGUGAUUUUAGAUCUCCAGUUUUGAGAUAUCUGACAAUUACACCUAGACCCAGAAUUGCUCUCUGUAAAUAGACAGAAUGCACUGUCAAACUGCUGCAGUGAGAUCCCAUUUGCAGUGCUGCUUCUUAACCUGUAUUUCUCACCUUCAUCUGUCUUCACCAUAAAUGAGACAUAUCUGUAGACUUCUGCUGCCAGAUGACAUGGUAUCAUAGCGUUGAAUGUAGAAAUGGCAAAGAGAAUCCUGGACUACACAAGAUGGCUGUUGUGCUACAGUGCAAACACUGUGCUUUGAGAAGUAAGAUCUGCCUGAUUGACAAGCAUCUGGACCUGGAUAGAGCUAACAUCUGGGAUGUUAAAACUGCAACAUGUGAAGCAACUGUGUCUUUUGGCAAGGGCGGCAGAGUAUGAAGGAGACAGACCACAGCACUGGAAACAGUCUAAUUGCAACAUAAGCAAAAGAAAACAAAGUUAACCCUCAAAAGCCAAAGUUAUCCCUAAAGCAAUAAACUGAUGUGGAAUUGUCCAGUUGAUGUUAAGGUAGCUCCUGCUUUUUUUGGAAGUACAGAAUUAAGGGGAAAAAAAAUAAUUCUGAACCUUUGGAAACUGCAGCUCAUACUUGGAAUGAAAUCCAGAAUCUUUGAGAAAAUGUUGGAGUUGCUGCUUGCUGAACAGUGGAACUCAGCAGUGUCAGAACAGUCAAGUACAAAAGUAAGAGAUCAGCUUCUUCAAGAAAGAUUCAGCACAAAGAGGUUAGGCUCCAGACCACUCACUUCUGAAGGAGUUCUUCUUUUUUACUGACAGAGACUUAACCAGAUGCUGUAAGUCAGAGGAGAGCCACAGCUGGGGAAAUCCAAGAACACAAACCAAGAAAAACCCACCCUGCAGCAUCAUACAGACAGAGAUGGCAAAAGGAUUCAUCACUUCAAGCUCCAUUCAUUUUUAAUUCAUACCAUGCUCUUACGAAGCGUACAGAGUGCAAUCAAGGGUGCAGAAUUUGUCUGGAAAUCAUAUUUAACCUCAAGAAGAGCAGACAUACCCCAGAGAAAAAUGUUAAACCCUCCAACAGUAUUGCAGUGAUUAUUAUUUCAUAGAAAGAAAGGAGAUUUAUACAGUUCCCAUGGUGAAGAAAGGCACUUUAUGACUUCUCUGGCAUUCCAUUUUCUAUGAGCAGCUCAAUGGCUAGAGAAAGCAAUGUGUAUGACUAGGUAGAAUAAAAGUACGUCUGUGUAACCCACCAGAA
This is a long non-coding RNA of Gallus gallus (chicken), 2154 nucleotides long. RefSeq lists it as uncharacterized. The record is from RefSeq and is a predicted model, not a curated record. The transcript is spliced from 4 exons. Lineage: Eukaryota; Metazoa; Chordata; Aves; Galliformes; Phasianidae.